RNAcentral lists this long non-coding RNA (1048 nucleotides) under Canis lupus familiaris (dog). Its description in RNAcentral is "lncRNA (ENSCAFG00040012517.1)". The record is from RNAcentral. Lineage: Eukaryota; Metazoa; Chordata; Mammalia; Carnivora; Canidae.
GGGAUUGAAAGAAGAGGGGUUCCAAUCUCAAAGGACCUUUCAUAAAACUCUGCCAUUGGGAGGGCAGAAGAUCCAGUGAACAGAGACCCAGAUUGUGAAUCCGGAGACAUGGGGAGUCAUGCCCUGCCAUGGGUUCUGUGGCUCAUGUCCUGAGCUCAACAGCUUUGCCUCUCUGGACCUCUGUUUUCUCAUCUGCAGAAUGAGCUAGUUGGGCUUGACCUCCGCACUCCCUCUGGCACUACUCUUGUAGAGCUGGCUGGGGGAAGGGCUGAGAUUUAGAGACUUGGGGUGGUAGUGUGACCUCUUCUCCCACCUGCUCCCGCCUGGAUUUCUGGAGUUCCAGAGGACAAACCCCACUGUGUCCAUAACUGGAGUUGCCUAAAGACUCAGGACAGGGCGGGGAGGCAGGUGGGGAGAUUGAUAGCAAAAGUCAAACAUGGGGCUCCCAGGACACGGCUCACCCUUAGGGAGAAAGGACUCGGUAACACAGAUCUAAGUCGGAAGGAAGCAGGGGUCCCGGCUGGUGUGGCGACAUCUAACACAACCAGCCAUCUAGCGGCUCGCAGACAGCUGGGGCAGCUCAGCAAACUCCCAGUCCCCAGAAUGCUGAGCGACCCUGCUCUAGGACCUGUGGUAUAGUCACACGCUAGGGCAGGAACCCGUUCUUCUUCUUCUCCCCAGCAGGGUGCCAGGAGCCAAAGGCCCAGGAACACUGCAAUUUGCAGACAUGACUGAGACCUCCCCAGGGACUUUCCAGAGAGGCUGUGGGCCCGAGAAGCCCUGCGCAGGUUGGUGUCCUGGGGUAGAGCCAGGGACAGGAAACCGAUGUGAGUCUGGCCUCCUCUGGGCACCCUGUGAGCCCAUUCUAGUUUCACAAGAGCUUCAAAGGAUACCAAGACCUGAACCGGGUCUGGUGACCCCAUUCUGGGGAAGUGGCUGCCUGGACACAGGAGGGAGGAGACCAGCCUCUGCAAGAAGCACAGUGGGCACGCCUGGUGUCACUGCUGGCCAAGCAAGGGCCAGACUUCUCCAGAGGCAGGACCGGUGA